GAUGAAGAACGUAGCGAAAUGCGAUAAGUAAUGUGAAUUGCAGAAUUCAGUGAAUCAUCGAAUCUUUGAACGCACAUUGCGCCCGCUAGUAUUCUGGCGGGCACGCCUGUCCGAGCGUCAUUUCAACCCUCAAGCCCCCGGGCUUGGUGUUGGGGAUCGGCGAGCCUCCGCGCCCGCCGUCCCCUAAAUCUAGUGGCGGUCUCGCUGUAGCUUCCUCUGCGUAGUAGCACACCUCGCACUGGGAAACAGCGCGGCCACGCCGUUAAACCCCCAACUUCUGAACGUUUGACCUCGGAUCAGGUAGGAAUACCCGCUGAACUUAAGCAUAUCAAUAAGCGGAGGA
This 343-nucleotide unclassified non-coding RNA is filed under the name soil metagenome. RNAcentral describes it as "partial contains 5.8S ribosomal RNA, internal transcribed spacer 2, and large subunit ribosomal RNA". The stretch from base 1 to 120 matches the Rfam family "5.8S ribosomal RNA", at positions 35 to 154 of the family's 154-position model. The record is from RNAcentral.